CUGGCUUACACUUGAGCAAUUUGAGUUGCAUUGGGCAUCACUUUUAGGUUUCAAUUGAAAUCAGGUUGCUUUUGGCUUAUGGAUAAUCAAUCCAGACUUUUGAACCUGUGAGUGGUUGCUGCGUAAGCCACUAUAGAAGGUUCUAAUUCAUUGUUUUCUCCGGACAAUCACAUGUAGAUGAGUAAUUGAACUGGAACUCUGAGAUGACGACCCUUUCUUCCAUAGUGUCAUAAUUGGGGACAAGGUUGAGGGACAGUAAUGAUUGCAUGCAUUAAGCUUUUGUGACAGCAGGCUUGAGAGAUCCUGGAUGGCCGUGAUCCUGAUGCAAUUUAAUGAUUUUUUUUAUUAUACUAGUAACUUGAUAAGUAGAGAUCAUCACGAAGAAUAAGAUAAGAGAAAGAGACCAUCAUGAAAAUAUGGUUCUCAGUAUGAACAUCUUCAAAUAGAGACCUAUCGGCCAAUC
Molecule: long non-coding RNA, 463 nt
Filed under: Phoenix dactylifera (date palm)
Lineage: Eukaryota; Viridiplantae; Streptophyta; Magnoliopsida; Arecales; Arecaceae
Description: long non-coding RNA (PDAC_LNC000979)
Source: RNAcentral